CUACGGGGUGCAGCAGUAGGGAAUAUUGGACAAUGGGCGAAAGCCUGAUCCAGCAACACCGCGUGCACGAUGACGGCCUUCGGGUUGUAAAGUGCUUUUAGAGGAGAUGAGAAAGGACAGUAUCCUCUGAAUAAGCCUCGGCGAACUACGUGCCAGCAGCCGCGGUAAAACGUAGGAGGCAAGCGUUGUCCGGAUUUAUUGGGCGUAAAGCGCGUGCAGGCGGUCUAGCAAGUUGGAUGUGAAAGCUCCCGGCUCAACUGGGAGAGGUCGUUCAAUACUGUUAGACUAGAGAAUAGGAGAGGGAGGUGGAAUUCCGGGUGUAGUGGUGAAAUGCGUAGAUAUCCGGAGGAACACCAGUGGCGAAAGCGGCCUCCUGGACUAUUUCUGACGCUAAGACGCGAAAGCUAGGGUAGCAAACGGGAUUAGAUACCCUAGUAGUC
RNAcentral lists this ribosomal RNA (440 nucleotides) under uncultured bacterium. RNAcentral's name for it is "partial 16S ribosomal RNA". It matches the Rfam family "Bacterial small subunit ribosomal RNA", at positions 339 to 795 of the family's 1533-position model. The record is from RNAcentral.